Tympanuchus pallidicinctus (lesser prairie-chicken) is the source of this 2984-nucleotide long non-coding RNA. RefSeq lists it as uncharacterized. The transcript has 4 exons. Lineage: Eukaryota; Metazoa; Chordata; Aves; Galliformes; Phasianidae. The record is from RefSeq and is a predicted model, not a curated record.
CUUCCCCACUGGUAGCCAGCUCUUAAAUAGGCCUAGAAGAGGUGCAGCCAGGCUCCACCCCUUCCAGCAGCACAGCUGAAUUGCCUUCACCUGUGCUCCUCUGGCUGGCUCAGUGCUCGCCUCAGGUGAUCCAUCAGAGGUUCAGGCCGUGACUCAGCAGUUCCCAUACAGUCAUCCUACAGAGCUUCAACAACUCUUCCCCUACAGUUUCACGAAGAAAAGUGGGUGAUAAUGUGUUGAUCUGAAUGUCAGCUAUAAUUCCCCUCUUCCCACAGAUGUCAUGCAAACAUUCUAUUAUCUUUCUCCUUGUAUUCAUUCCAUGAUAAUAUUCUGUUCUGCUGCCAAUUCAUUAUAGAAGUCUCUGGUUUCAUAACUUGUGACUGUGGAGGGCAGCUGAAACCUCUCCCAAACUGCUACCUCAAGAUUGUGAUGCACAAUUUUAUCUCAAGAUAUCUCCUAGGAUUACAGUAAAGGAUUUGUUGCUAAAACUCCCUCCAUCAUCAAACACUUGAGAACAAUCACAGAAAAAUUGUAUGUGUGCUCUCUGAGAAAUUGCUUUCCCAUUGUGCCAAUGUGACUGAUAGACACUCUGGUUGUACAGGACACUCAUUCCAUCACAUCUCAAGAGAUCUACCUUCUAAGGAAAUCUGGACUCGACUGAUGUAUCACUCCUUUUCGUGGAAUUUCAGGUGCAGAACUCUUCUCUCUGUCUGCCCCUUUCUCUCUGUCUUCUCUUGCUGUUAAACAAUGACUGCAGGCAGACUAAAAGUAAUAUUUAUAAACUCUGUUGUAAUCAUUUGCCAGACUCAAUAUUUCAUCCAGCACAGCUGUUUUACUCCCCCAUUACAUACACCAGAUGCUGUAAUACUGUUCCUAAUUUAAGUGAGGGGUGUUCAGCUAAAGGCUGCUGCAGGUUCCCAUGCCAUAGAGCACUGACUUGCAGCUCAGUAGCACAUCUCUCCAGUAAACACCUCUGCAUGGGAACUGCUGAAUCACAGCCUGAACCAAUUGACAACCUGAGAUGAGCAAAAAGUCAGCCCUGGGAGCAGGUGAAGGCCUUGCUCCACCUCUCCAAGACACCUUUUAAGAGCUGACUCCCAGGGGGGAAGGAUUUCUUUUAGAGAUUGCUCCUCUUUGAGUCUUCUCAGUGAACCCAGGACAAGGAAAGAAAGGCUCCAAUGCAGUUCUGCAUAAAAGGCAAAAAGCACAUUUUCCCCUGAAACGUGGACCACAGCUGGAAGCACUACUGUCCUUCAAGCAAAGAUUCCAAGCUGAGUUCACCAAACCCCAAAAGGAGGGAACUGUAAAAUAUAAAGCAAGUGCAAGUUCAAGAAAAGUCUGGAAAGCCUAGAGAGAUCGACACAAGGCAGACAGCCAGAUAUCAUUGAACCGGGGAAUGCCUCAAUAUCCUCCUGGAAGUGAAAGGAAGUACAGCUCAGAAGGUGCUUAUCUUCCCCAAGGAGUCUGCUUCUGGUCACUGUUCAUAGCACAAGAUGAAGUCAAGGUGAGACAGUGAAAUUCUUUGUGUUACGCUAAGAUUGGAACUUCCUCUUGUAAGAGCACAGAUUUUCUGAAUUUAAGUUACUCCAGAGUCUGUGAGCUUAAACACGAAGAGUCAACUUAUUAAUGCAGCAGUUCCUUGUUUAUACAUUUAAGCUUUAACAUCAGCCCUGGCAACAGCAUAAAACACAAUCAAAUUGUAUUUGUGCAGUGAUUAUUCUUGUCCUGUGUAAUUACUGGUCCCUCAGAUAAAAUCUCAAGCUACUUUAUUGAAGCUGGGAAUUGAAACCACAGAGAGAAUCGGCUAUCUAUGUACAUCAAUAAAGCGGUCCAUUAAUUAUUUCCACCUACUCAACUUGAAGAAAAUUACCAUACUAAUGCCUCUGGGUAACCACAUGACCUGCUCUGCUUCUCCAUAACAGCUAAACGUAAAGUCAUAAAGGCUCUGAGAGAUAAAUCGGGGACACUAAAGAAAUGGCAGCAUAGAAUGGCAUUCAUGGAAGUAAUUGGUCACAGAAAUCUCCAGACAGCAUUAACAUCAGACAGAAUCACAAUGCCUUCAAACUUCAGAACUGAAAGUAUUCCGAUUUCUUUUCAACAAGCAGAAAGUUAAUAGCUGAAAUAUAUCACCAAGAAUUAGACAGCAUCUCAUUAUUCAAAAUGUGAUGAAAAGUAAAAAUUUUCACCAAUCAAUCUUGAAACAUUUCAGAAAGUAAAAAUCGAACAGAGGUCACCGGCAGCGGAUCACGUAUGAGUAGUUUCAUACUGGUCUGUUCAAAUGCCAUCUUCCUUGAUGGAAUCCCUUGAAGGACUCUCAAUGACAGAAAAAGUUCACAGCUGCAUUGGCAAACCAAGGGGGAAAAAACAACAGAAGGGGCACGGAAGGGGUUAAGAUUCUGGAAAUACACUUUCUUUCCAGAAGUGUUUAUUUUUUUGCUGUACGUUUAAUACAAGCACCCUGCAAUGCCUUUCUCAAUUUUCCUUUUAAAUUAUAGCCGCUCAAUUCUGCCUAAUUAAGCAUUUUCUUUAAUGAUAAGGGUAUUGCCUGAGAAGAGGUAUUUAGUGAUCACAAUUAGUGACCUUUAAGCCUGCAAGGCGUUUGCUUAUUUUCAUAUAAAUAUUUGGGAUACCAGCAUAGAAAACAGCAUUAUUUUCUUUGUUGGCUCUGAUUAAAAUAGACUGAUUCACAUUCAUAAACUAUGCUAAUCAUAAAAUAAACAGCAGUUAUACUAUAGUAUGUAAUUGGAUUUUAUGUGCCACAGUGUGGUCAGUUAAUGCAUACAAUAAAGCUGAAGAAUCAGGCGGUACUUUAAUCUUUCCUGAAAAACGGAUCAGCUGCUAUAGGUGAUUUUCACAUCUCUCAUGUAUCUGCAGGCACAGUCCUAUCCAACUCCAAGACUGAGCAACUCCAGGGCUCAGCUCCACUGUCCCUCUAGAGCCAUUGGUGCCACCACUUUGGCAGUGUAAUGUACUUCUUUCUUCAC